AAAAUGGCCCUUUUCAGGGCCCACAAAAUGAAUAAGUUAAAGAGUUG
This is a non-coding RNA of Lutzomyia longipalpis, 47 nucleotides long. Lineage: Eukaryota; Metazoa; Arthropoda; Insecta; Diptera; Psychodidae. The record is from Rfam.